Molecule: long non-coding RNA, 585 nt
Filed under: Theobroma cacao (cacao)
Lineage: Eukaryota; Viridiplantae; Streptophyta; Magnoliopsida; Malvales; Malvaceae
Description: long non-coding RNA (TCAC_LNC006124)
Source: RNAcentral
UUCACAAGUACAUCCCUGUCGUAACUUGCUGGUACACUCGACCGCUACGACAAUCCCUUUCAGUACAGUCUUAUUAUCGGAAUUACAUAACUAAUUUUGAAAGUUUGAGCAAGUCUUGUUGCCAAAAAAGGUUCAAAUAAUUAUGAAAUUCUCAUGGAUUUUCAACCUAAAAGCCUAAUAACUUUUUCGUGCAAAGUUCACCAUAAAGUUCUAAUCACUGGAAAGCAUUAAAAGACUCAGAAUGGUCGUUGGUUUCUGAUGAUUGCUGUGUAACUUUGCAUAGAGGUCAUUUUCUUGUUACCUCACCAAAACGACUCCCUACAGUACGUUUCAAGCACUUAACACUAACAACAAUUAAAACACAAACUACACCGUUUUGACAUUUGCUAGAAUCCUUUUUAAACUUCAAGUACCGUUGACUCCAGCCACAUAUCAACUACCCAACUACUCAGCUACUAGAGAAAAAGAUUACUCUUUCAACACUCCCCCAUAAUCUUUGAUCUAGAAAAUUCACAAAAGUGCUCUCAAAUACUCAAACCUUUCUCUGCUCGGAUUCUUUGUAAAGAUAUCAGCUAAUGGCUCAUU